This is a long non-coding RNA of Orcinus orca (killer whale), 4694 nucleotides long. RefSeq lists it as uncharacterized. The record is from RefSeq and is a predicted model, not a curated record. Lineage: Eukaryota; Metazoa; Chordata; Mammalia; Artiodactyla; Delphinidae. The transcript is spliced from 3 exons.
CACCCCACCCCGGUCCCCACACCAGGGAUCGAACUCGUGCCCCCUGCAGUGGAAGGGCGGAGCCUUAACCAUGGGAUCACCAGGGAAGUCCCUCUUUUCCCCAUUUUGAACUGGGUUGUUUGUCUUAUUCUUGAGUUUUUUUUUUUUUUAAGAGUUCUUUAUACACUCUAGAUACAAAUCCUUAGUCAAGUAUAUGAUUUGCAACUAUUUUCUCCUGCCUGUGGUUUGUUUUUUCAUUUUCUUUGAAGAACAAAAGUUUUUAAUUUUGAUGAAGUCCAGUUUAUUGAUCUUUUGCAGUUCAUAGUGUUUUGUAUUCUAUCUAGGAAAUUUUGCCAUUCAAAUGCCAUCAGGGAAAUUUUCUUUCAUAUUUUGAAUAACAUCUCUUAAACUUUGAAUCUUCAAAAUAUGCUCCUUGGUCAUGAAAACACUUAAGGAACGGCUCCCCAGCUCCCUCAUCUGGUGAGAGUGAGCUUUAAAGCAUUUGAACCUACAACAUUUUAAAAUUAUGAAAGCGUCAAAAGUGAUCUAAAGCAUUUUUCCUUUUAUCAAAUAUUUUUUCAGAAGUGCAAAAUACCUUACUAUUGGGAACACAGAAGAAAUAAUUUAAAAACAUGAGACCUGAAAGUCAAAUAGUACUGGUCUCAGUCCCUCAGAUGGCUUGCUUCUAGUUCACCACACCUUGAGUAUAUUUUCUUAUCACCCUUUGUUUCCAUGAAAUUCUAUUUGAAUGGAGGUUAAGAGCAUUUUAUUACCUUAAUGGAUGGCCCUAAAGUCCUCUUAGGGAGAGAAGUGCUCUUGCUGGGAAGAAUACUGUAUUUUAAUAAGUGCUUGUGGUUGGUGAGCACCCACCUACACUGCCUCCUACCCCUAUCCUGAGGGUGUCAAUUGGCUCCAAGCUUAAGAAGAUGGAAAAAUGGUCUCCAUAACAGAGGAGAUGGGAAGGAGAGAGAAAAGCAGGGAAAAUGGCAUGGCGAUGAAGGCUUUGCCAGAUAUGAUAUAACCCUUUCUCUAGGAGCCCCACAAAGUAGGGUACAUCUACUGAAUGAGUGACUUUUAUUGUGGUAACUGGAGAAAGGGCCUAAUCUGAAACAGUUCAGAACAGAAAUAACAUAUGAGAUUCAGGAGCUCAGAGGCCCAGAUGACCCUGAGAACCUAGGUCUCACUGGGUAUAUAUAAAACUCUUGGGAAGGCCCUCAACUUUCACAGAAAGUGGAAGUGACAAUAUCACAAAUUUAAACACACUACCCUUUGACCAUAAUGCGCUUACUUGCUCAAGUGCUCUCCUGGAAACAAACUUUAGGCCCCAUCUAGAGCUCAGCUUCAUUUAAAUCUUCACUCAGUCUCCUCCUGUCAUUACUCUAUCCAGUUCAGAUUCCAAGGUCCAUCACUUCCUGAAAAUACUUCAAGUCCUUUGUUCCUUUUUCCUUCCAUUGCACUUACCUGGGAAAACUUCAGCCACGUAGUGACUCAGUCAUCGUCUCUGAUUCUUAACUUCCUAUCAAAAACCUAAUAACACACUUAUAUCUAAACACCUCAUCCUUCAUAUUUGAAUGGAGAGAAGUGCUGCCAUCAAAGGCUAUCCCUUCCACCUGUCCUCUCAAGGUCUUUGUUCCUAUACACACACACACACACACACACACACACACACACAUAUAAAUACAUAUGUAACAAUACAUAUCUAAGAAUGCAUAUAUAAAAUACAUGUAUAAGAAUACUAAAUAGCACCACUGUUCUGUUCAGAGUUGCAGAAAACCUCAAACCAUUUCAAAUGUUUAUCAAACAAGAGAAUAGUUAAAUAAAUUGUGGUACGUUCAGUAAAGAAUUGUACAGAGCAGUGAAAAUUUUCUAAACUACAGCUGUGUGAAACAACAUGGAAGAAUCACAGAACAAAAUAUGAAGUGAGGAAGUAAGCCCAAGCUGAUUGCAUACAGUUUGAUACCAUCUCUAUAAAGCUCAAAAACAAGCAAUAGUAAACAGCAUAUUGCUUAUAUUGUUUAGGCCUAUACCUAUAUACAAAAACUAUUUUUAAAAGGAAUGAUAAAUAGAAAAUUCAGGACAAUGGUGAUCUCAGUAGGAAGGGGAAUCAGAGAAGGGAUAAACAAAUAAUUAGAUGUAAGAUGUUGGCUUGUCCUGAGGUUGGAUGGUAUGUUCACAAGUAUGUAUAUUCUAUUGUGCUUUAUAACAUACAUAAAUAUUAUAUAUAUUAUACUGUAGGUAUCAAAUAUUAUAUAAAAACAAUAUUUAAAACCUUUUAGGAGCUAUGAAAAAAAACUAUGAUGAGAUCCUUCUGUUCAAAAUAGCUAUCUUAACUUUAUUUAUCAAUUUCCCCAAUAUUUUUUAUGCUUCUGUUAUUUUAGGGCACCUUCCCAUCCAAAUCCUACCUAAUUCCAAGAUUCUGGUCAAGUUCCAGAUCUUCCCAGAAGUCUUCCCUGACUUCUCCAGCUCUUGUUCAUCUUUCUUUCCUCAAGCACUUAAACAACUUUUGGGUUCCAAGCAAAUCAGCAUGUAACUGUAUAUUGUCUUCUAUCAUUUAUAAUUGGUCAAUGUGUGUUAGGGCUCUUCAUUGCAAAUAACAGCAUCUGGUCUCAUUAGUAGUUUAAACAGAAAAGAAAUUUAUUAAAGGAUACAGAUGGCUCCUAGAAUCUCUGAGUGGGCAGGAAAUGAGGCUUGGCAGCUAUGCCAGGCUGAUGUCAAAACUGUGCUGUUCUGUUGCUCUAGUGGAGACUCUCCUGGUGCCACCACUGGGCAAAAGUGUACUUGUAGUCUCACCACUGACACUGGACACUGAACAUGACCCCUAGCAUGUCUAGCUCUGCUGCCCUUGGAAGCUGGUGGUUUUUUUGCCAGAAUGCAUUGCAAGCAGUGCCUCCAUUUUCACUUCACCCUCUUCUGACCUGCAGUCUCAUUUUGUUGUGGAACUGGGGUACCCAGGAUAUAUCUAGCUGUGUGCAACCCUGAGAAGAUGAGUUUUUUGCUUCUAUCUUAGGGAUGAACUCAUAAAGUAGGAGCUUCCAAACAUAGAAAGGGUGUUUCAAAGGUUAUCUUAUCUUACCAAUAUGGCUUAUUACCUAAAACACAUAACACUCAAUAAAUACCUGUUGAUUUAUUACUCUUCAGUAUCCUCCAUUAAAACAGUACCUUUGGGAUCAUCUAAUCCAGGGGUCUCUAACCCCUGGGCUAUGGAUGGGUACCGGUCCAUGGCCUAUUAGGAUUCAGGCACACAGCAGGUGAGCGGCAAGCGAGCAAAGCUUCAUUUGUAUUUACAGCUGCUCCCCAUGGCUCACAUUACCGCCUGAGCUCCGCCUCCUGUCAGCAUUAUGUAAUAGAAACCCUGAGUUUUUACUGGGCCAUGACCACCAAGAAUAAAGACUAUAUUCCCAGGCUCUUUUGCAGCUGUGUGUGGCCAUGAGAUUACAUUCUGGAUGUAACCAGAAUUGUCGUAUGCAUCUUCUGGGAAACAUUCUUAAAAUGUUGAGUCAUGCCCUUCUCUCUUUCCUCCUCCCUGCUGACUGGAAUGCAGUUGGAGCUCUAGAAGCCAUCUCAGAAAAUAAGGUGAACUUGAGAAUGGAAUGCUCACGUGGUAAAGCAAGAAAACAGGACACCUGUUGCCUAACACCAUGGAGCACCAUACCAACUAUGAACUUACUACCUCCAAACUUCUUGCAGAUUGUGGGAUCUUAGUUCCCCCACCAGGGAUCAAACCCAUGCCUCCUGCAGUGGACGCACUGAGUCUUAACCACUGGACUGCCAGGGAAUUCCCUCAAAGUGCUUUUAUAUUUAUUUUAUUAGACAUAAAGUGGAGAAUAUGGACUGUUAUCUGGAUAAUUAGAAGAAUGCCUCUUGCCUCAGUUACCCGGACUCUUGAAGUUAACAUAUUUCCCAUUUAAAUUAAUGUUAAUUUUGUAAAUUGCUUAAUAUUUUUUAUCUUGCAUUUAUAGAAAUAAAACCAUAAAAUUAAGGAAAAUGUGGUACAUAUACAUAUUUGCAUGCAUAAUUUUAGAUAGAGCUUGCAAUUUACUUUCUCUUAUUCUUUUCACAUAUUUAUUCUAUAAUUUUAAUGAAAUAUUUCAAGCUACAGAAAAGUAGAGAAAGAAUGUAGCAAACACUACUCAUCUUCUUGGUCUGUCAAAUCUUGAUGCUAUAGGUGCUAAAGGUAACAUUUUUUAGUUUUCUGAAUAGUUAACACAUUUAUAUGUUCCAAAAAAGUAUGGUGUUAAGUCCCCAUCCCACCCUGUCCCGUAUGUCCAGUUCCCAUCUCCACUUACUUAUAUAUUUAUUUUGUGUGCAUGUGUGUGCAAGCAAAUAUAUAUUGCACGAAUAUAUUUGGACUCACAUAAAAAAAAAUUAAAGGUAACACAUUUUUGACAUUCUUCUUUGUGCCCACAAUCCUAACACUAACUCUUUACUGCCUCUUUUCUCGGCUCAUUAUUCAAUUAAUAGAACACUUAUGUUCAAGGAAUUUUGUUAGUAACUCUUAAGAAUCGGUAGUUUCUCAUCAAAUUCUGUUUGCCUCCAUCCUUUAUAUUCCAUCCACAACCCAGUUUUCUAAAAACCUGAGAUCUACUUCCAAAGUCUGAAGUGCAUAGAGCAUAACGAACCCGAACAUCACGCGGACAAGGAGACUAAACUCCUCGGAAGAAUUCGUGAGGGCGGAAGCGGUAGGGAAAGCAGUGAGGUAUGGGUCGGACGCCGGA